This 505-nucleotide ribosomal RNA is filed under the name uncultured bacterium. Its description in RNAcentral is "partial 16S ribosomal RNA". It matches the Rfam family "Bacterial small subunit ribosomal RNA", at positions 30 to 523 of the family's 1533-position model. The record is from RNAcentral.
AUUGAACGCUGGCGGUAUGCUUAACACAUGCAAGUCGAACGGCAGCAUGGUCUAGCUUGCUAGACUGAUGGCGAGUGGCGGACGGGUGAGUAACGCGUAGGAAUAUGCCUUGAAGAGUGGGACAACUUGGGGAAACUCAAGCUAAUACCGCAUGUACUCGAGAGAGUAAAGCUGGGGACCUUUAGGCCUGCGCGUUAAGAUUAGCCUGCGUCCGAGUAGCUAGUUGGUUGGGAAAAGGCCUACCAAGGCGACGAUCGGUAGCUGGUCUGAGAGGAUGAUCAGCCACACUGGAACUGAGAGACGGUCCAGACUCCUACGGGAGGCAGCAGUGGGGAAUAUUGGACAAUGGGGGGAACCCUGAUCCAGCAAUGCCGCGUGUGUGAAGAAGGCCUGAGGGUUGUAAAGCACUUUCAGUGGGGAGGAGGUUUGGAAGGUUAAGAGCUAUUCAAAUGGACGUUACCCACAGAAGAAGCACCGGCUAACUCCGUGCCAGCCGCCGCCGUAA